Molecule: microRNA precursor, 121 nt
Filed under: Pelobates cultripes (western spadefoot toad)
Lineage: Eukaryota; Metazoa; Chordata; Amphibia; Anura; Pelobatidae
Source: RNAcentral
ACUACUGUGCUCCCGCGCGGUUCCCAUAAUUCCAAGCAUCUACACAUCAUAGAGUAGUGAUUACUCUAUGAUGUGUAGAUGCUGGGAAUUAUGGAAACCGCGAAGGAGCAUGGUAGUUAGC